UGUCAAAAUUUUGGCUCAGUCUUCUGUGUAAUUACUCUUAA
This 41-nucleotide small RNA is filed under the name Arabidopsis thaliana (thale cress). Its description in RNAcentral is "ATSL192310". The record is from RNAcentral. Lineage: Eukaryota; Viridiplantae; Streptophyta; Magnoliopsida; Brassicales; Brassicaceae.